CACCGCUUUACCGGCACACUCUGCGCUAUUUAUAGGGAACAGAAGACACCAAUUGUCAAAAAUCCCAGAAACUGUCAUAUCUUAGUUAAUGCGGGGAGUCAGAAAACAGACCUUGCUAUUUGAAAGUCUUUUUACUUGUUCUCGUCAUUUUCCAAUAAUCUUCUAUUCUGGUGGAGCGGAGGGACACGAGAAGCAUUUGAUAAGUGUGGACAAUAGGCGUGUGGUGCUCCAGGACCGCGUUGUGUCAAUCUUGUCGGCGGUGCAGUGAGGUGAUGUGCAACGAACGACCAAACUCGUCCCGGACCCACAGCAUGUCCAAACCGAUUAGGGGGCUGGGACGACUGAAGCAAGACCCCUGCAAUUAUAUUCCUUAAUGCAGUCUUCAACCAAAAAACAUGAACUCCAAAUCAGACUAACUUAACGAAUUGUUGACUUAAGGGUAAAUAAAGUGUUCAGAAAUAAUUAGCAGUCCAUCAUUGAAACAGUGACCACGUCAAAUGAGAUGCUUCUGUGAGCAUAAAACGCAAACAUAAUCCAAUAGCUUCAGUAUUGACCAGUAACUAAACAUUUUUUUCCUGACUUUCCAACUCUUCCGAAGAAUGGCAAGAGAAAUUCGAUUUGGGUUAUAGAUCUCGUAGUCACUGGAACAGCUGUUAUUUCCCCCCUUCACCCGAUAAUCAAACACAGACACGACGACCCGCUUAGGCCUUGCAUGCAAGACCAAGGAUUAACAGUCUUAUUCAAAUCUUAACUAUGCCAGACGAAUAAAUACGAUACGAAUACUCAUGCAAUUGUAAAAUAGCUUCCAAAAAUGUGAUUAUUAAUCAGUCAGAUAGUCUAAAUUUUGACACAGUAAAUCUUAAUAUUUUGUUAAUAUUCGAGGUGAUGGAAAAUGAUUUAGCAACGAAGGCUCAGCGUGAGGGGGAAAUCAACGUGAUGAUGAUAAUGAUGACUCACUACCACGAUGCAAUUUAUUUCUGCCCAAUGAAAAUAUUCCAAUAUCCUAACAAAAAACUUAUACUAAAAAAAACUUAAACUAAUAAAGUUAUAGUGUCUUAGAUGACAUAUAACAAUCGUUAUUGAUGCCCCUAAACAUCAACAAAAACCAUAAGAACAUCUACGUCAUUAUCUCAUUAGAGACAGACAAGCAAAGAGCAGUGACAAGAACAUUUUUAUAUUAUUCCCCGCUGGGCACGAACAGAAACGAGCAGUCUUUGAGAAUGGUCGCUCUAGUUUAGAUUAAUGGUUCCCAGCGCUUAUUCUGCAGUGCGGGUGAAAGGGCCAGGAUCACUAAUGAUUAUAAUAUAAUGUGUGGUGAUAACCACUCCCUUUGAGAUAUUAUCGCGCAGUGGGCAAUGCUCGGGGGACGACUGCGGGGCUGAAAAUCAGCAGAUAGCUACUAAACACGAGCAGAUUUCUGCACUGAAGCUCCAACAGCCUGCAAGACUCCAGUGCUGUCUGCUGCUGAUAUCAACAAGGGCUGAAUUAAAGCACUAUUUCUAUUUUUAAGAAACCUCAGAUUAUAUAUACUUUUUUCUCUUGAAAAUGGCCAAAGCUACACUAUUAUAGCCUGCCAUCUGAAAUACUGACUUUAAAUGAUGAACUUGAGUUUCUUUCCUAUGUUUUACUUCCAUCUCAUUAUUGAUUACUUUUUCCACAAACCAGAGUGCUCGUGUUAGUGGAACCAGUGCAUCAUUACAUGUAGGAGCUGUCAGGAACAUAAUACGGCCAAAAAAUAAAUAAAUAAAUAAAAUAAAUAAAUAAAUAAAAUAAAAUUAAAUAAAAUACAAACCAUGAAAAUUUACCUCAUCUUUGAUUUAAAAAAAAAAUAUUUCUCAAUUUAAUAAAAAAUGAUAAGAAUUGAUAAGACAGGUUUCAGAAAUAGUAAACAAGGAAAAGGACAAAGAUCCGUUCGGCCUACACUAGGCUAUGCGUGAGUGGGUGGCGCUAUUAAUCUGAGAACGUUUAUAAAAAACUUUAAGAACUUCAUAGGAAUCCUCAGCAAUAAUUCUAGAGCUGCCAAACCAGAAAACAACUAGGCCAACUAUAUAUAUAUAUGUAUAUAUAUAUAUAUUUUUUUUUAACUAAGUAUAGUUGUAAGUAGCCUAUUUCCAAGUAACUGUAAAUAUAACUGAAAAUAUCACAAACCACAUAAGAAUACGCGUUCAAUUUGACAAAAAAAAAAAAUGUAAAAAAUGCUAAUCCAUGUAAUCCAAAUUUAAAAACAGAAAAUAUGAAAAUACCGGACACAAACCCUUCUCGUGUCAAUCGACUGCCUCGGAUCAAUAACAAAGCUGCCUGACUAACUUCUCCGAGAGUCUGGAGCGAACGCAAGAAAAGGGGGUGAUCCUAAAGGACCACGGGAGACAAGGCCUCGACAAUCCCUCCUCAUUCAUCUUCAUUGCCUUUGUGUGCACAAAAAGCAAGCCCUGCAUAAGGUAAAGCCACCAUCAAAGCCAUGGCUUUAUUUUAUAUCCUAUAGAUCAGGAGGGAGACAAAGCUUUAUUUUCGCCAGGAGAGAGAUAUUUUACCUCCGCCGUACGGUUUUAUGUUGGAGAGGUGUCAGACAGACGAAAUGAAUGGCUAAUGCAUAGGCAAAACGCACUCACCCCAGCAUGCCUCACGUCAGCAGGCGCAGUCGGGAUUUAGGGCCGGUGAGAGCAGAGCGCGCGACUGAGCACGAGCAUAUAAAUACGUGAUGUUCUCGACUGGUCCAGACACAUGUGCAUACAGUGCCAUUUUUAAACCCAUACGCGCAGCAGUAAUCGUUAAGGAGAUUUAUAAAGGGAUUCCUUGCAAUUCCCCAAAUUUCCUCACUCUUAGUCGUUACCAUACCACUACAGCAACGCUUAAAAAUAGAAAUAUAAGGUGACAAUUUAUGGUUCGGGCUUGCAAAUAAAUAACAAGCAUGCUUCAGAAUUUUGUUUAGGAUGGUCAUAUGAGGUUGUGAAUAAAUUAUAAUGCAAUGCCAAUCUUAUUUUGCACCAGCCUUGGGAUCCCCUCCAAAUUCUGCAGAAUCCAAGCAAGCGUUUUCAAUUCGUUAUAUGGGCAACAUUUUAUUUUAAUGGGACAGUUUAUUUCAGGGAGUGGCUUAUCUACAUUGGCUGUGGCUUUAUCAGUCACAAACAUUGAGCUGUAUCCACCAUUAUUUCCACCAUUGUUGUGUCCAUCCACUCAUUCUCUGUCAGGUAUGAGUCCAGGAAAAAUAUUUUACAAACUUUUUAGCAAAUGCUGACCUCAACAAGGCAAAUACAGGAUUGGCAGCCAUGCUUGGCUCAUCUCAGCUCUGAUACUGUAUAAAGCAAACUAGUGAUAAAGAGAUGUUAGAUGAUGACAUUAAGUCCUACUCAAGACUUUCAAAACCAUUCCCAUUUGAAAUGGACAAAAGUUGAACGAUAAGGUAACUGCUCACACUCAAAA
Pimephales promelas (fathead minnow) is the source of this 3420-nucleotide long non-coding RNA. RefSeq lists it as uncharacterized. The record is from RefSeq and is a predicted model, not a curated record. Lineage: Eukaryota; Metazoa; Chordata; Actinopteri; Cypriniformes; Leuciscidae.